UGUAGUGCCGCCGGGAUCGCUGGCUGGAGAGGUUUGCAGCCGCUUCCGUGCUACUCGUGCUGUGAGCAUUGCAAGCUAGAGCCGAGUACGCGGGCCGGCCAUCAUGUCACGUUACGGGCGGUAUGGAGGAGAAACCAAGGUAUAUGUUGGUAACCUGGGAACUGGUGCUGGUAAAGGAGAGUUAGAAAGGGCAUUCAGUUACUAUGGGCCCUUAAGAACUGUAUGGAUUGCCAGAAAUCCUCCAGGAUUUGCCUUUGUGGAAUUUGAAGACCCUAGAGAUGCAGAGGAUGCGGUUCGAGGAUUGGAUGGGAAAGUGAUUUGUGGUUCUCGAGUGAGGGUUGAACUAUCAACAGGCAUGCCUCGGAGAUCUCGUUUUGAUAGACCACCUGCCCGUCGUCCCUUUGAUCCUAAUGAUAGAUGCUAUGAGUGUGGUGAAAAGGGACAUUAUGCUUAUGACUGUCAUCGCUAUAGCCGACGAAGAAGAAGCAGGUUUCUUCGUUUGAGUCAGUCGCCUUGAUUCAGAAUGUCACGAGCCUUAUGAUAUCAUGCUGAGGCGCCUUGCAAAUCCGACAAUUAAGAUCCUCCUAGACCUUGAGGUGAUCAGCAUAAGAGGCCAGAUCCCCUCGAGUCAUCUACACCUAGCUUCACCUUAUUCUUUAAAGGGCAGAAAAUUUGAGUCGGUGAUCGCCGUAACAGUAAAAUUGGCUUACAAUUGGGGCCCCCCUCCGCUUUAGAAAGAGGAACACCAGAUUGACCACAUUCCCAACUAGAAAAAUCUUCUUGCGUCAAUCAAGCCUCACCUGGCUCUUUUGGCUGUCAGUUUGAUCGUCGUUAGAUUGAAGAAAACAUCUAGAUGCAGCGAUCGACUAUAGAUACUUCUAGAUCAUCUAGAUCUACUAGACCUACUACUAGACCAUGGGCCAAAGAGGGUCGACCUGCAAACUUGCAAGGUUUAUUUUAAAUACACAUUAUGGUGUUUUUAUAUUUUGUAAUUCUAAGUUGUAAUUCAGCUUUUAACAAAUCUUUUUUUAGGUUAGUAAAAAAAAAUAAAAUUUAAUAGGCCCAGAGUUUUUCCAAAUGAAAUACUAAAUUUUAAAUAGUUUGGAGAUUUGAUUUCAGCAGAGGUACACAAACACUAAAACUGAGUUAUCGUCUAAUAUUUUGUAUUUUUCUAACUUGAAAAAUAGGUCGCGAUCUAGAUCCCAUUCCCGCUCCAGGGGAAGGAGAUACUCUCGAUCACGCAGCAGGAGCCGUGGAAGGAGGUCAAGAUCAGCAUCUCCUCGACGAUCAAGGUCUGUGUCUCUUCGUAGAUCAAGAUCAGCCUCACUCAGAAGAUCUAGGUCUGGUUCUAUAAUAGGAUCGAGGUAUUUCCAAUCCCGCUCAAGGUCGAGAUCAAGAUCCAGGUCUAUUUCACGACCAAGAAGCAGCCGAUCAAAAUCCAGAUCUCCAUCUCCUAAAAGAAGUCGUUCCCCAUCAGGAAGUCCACACAGAAGUGCAAGUCCAGAAAGAAUGGACUGAAGUUCUCAAGUUCACCCAUUAGGGAAAAGUUAUUUUGUUUACAUUAUUAUAAGGGAUUUGUUAUGUCUGUAAAGUGUAACCUAGGAAGGAUCAUCAACCAUCUAAUCAAAAUGGAUCUGGAUUAUUACUCUGUAAAAUUCACAGCAGUAAAUAUUGUUUUUGUUGAAUGUAUUAACAUCUUAUAGUCUGAAAAUGUGGGUUUUUAUUUGACACGUUUAAAUAAAAUGUUUCUAACUA
Non-coding RNA from Arvicanthis niloticus (Nile rat), 1755 nucleotides. Lineage: Eukaryota; Metazoa; Chordata; Mammalia; Rodentia; Muridae. The record is from RefSeq and is a predicted model, not a curated record.